This 257-nucleotide ribosomal RNA is filed under the name uncultured bacterium. RNAcentral describes it as "partial 16S ribosomal RNA". It matches the Rfam family "Bacterial small subunit ribosomal RNA", at positions 524 to 776 of the family's 1533-position model. The record is from RNAcentral.
UACGUAGGUGGCAAGCGUUGUCCGGAUUUAUUGGGUUUAAAGGGUGCGUAGGCGGCCCUGUAAGUCAGUGCUGAAGAUACCCCGGCUUAACCGGGGGGGGUGGCAUUGAUACUGGCAGGGCUUGAGUACAGAUGAGGUAGGCGGAAUUGACGGUGUAGCGGUGAAAUGCAUAGAUAUCGUCAAGAACACCUAUAGCGAAGGCAGCUUACUGGGCUGUAACUGACGCUGGAGGCACGAAAGCGUGGGGAGCGAACAGG